RNAcentral lists this ribosomal RNA (673 nucleotides) under Azadinium spinosum. RNAcentral's name for it is "partial large subunit ribosomal RNA". It matches the Rfam family "Eukaryotic large subunit ribosomal RNA", at positions 68 to 620 of the family's 3401-position model. Lineage: Eukaryota; Dinophyceae; Gonyaulacales; Amphidomataceae. The record is from RNAcentral.
AACAGGAUUCCCUUAGUAAUGGCGAAUGAACAGGGAUGAGCUCAGCAUGGAAAUCGGGGUCUCCCGACCUUGAAUUGUAGUCUGUAGAUGUACUGCCAACGGAGGCGCAGAUGUAAGCCUCUUGGAAAAGAGCAUCAACGAGGGUGAGAGUCCCGUUUGUCAUCUGCAGUCCCCCGUGCACGGUGUGCCUUCUAAGAGUCACGUUCCUCGGGAUUGGAGCGCAAAGUGGGUGGUAAAUUUCAUCUAAAGCUAAAUAUUGGUUCGAGACCGAUAGCAAACAAGUACCAUGAGGGAAAGGUGAAAAGGACUUUGAAAAGAGAGUUAAAAGUGCCUGAAAUUGCUGAAAGGGAAGCGAAUGGAACCAGUGUUCUUGAUGAGAUUGUUGCGUACUCUGGUGAUUGCUGGGUGUUCCACCGCAAGGGGGGCAUCUAGUUUUGAGCUAGAUGUGCGUGGUGUUUCUUGUCUUGUGUGUCACCGUCGGUGCACGAGCGAGUAAACCUCCAGGGGGCUGGUAACUCGACCACGGUUGAGUGAAUACCUUUGGCAGUACUCAUUUGUGUAUCGAUCCCUGCGUGUCUGGUUGCAGUGUUUGGGUCGCCUGGAAACUCCUGAAGGGCUUGUCCUCGAAGGAGUCCUUUUGGGCGCCCUGAGCAUCUCCCUGACACAAAGACGA